RNAcentral lists this long non-coding RNA (210 nucleotides) under Elaeis guineensis (African oil palm). RNAcentral describes it as "long non-coding RNA (EGUI_LNC058155)". Lineage: Eukaryota; Viridiplantae; Streptophyta; Magnoliopsida; Arecales; Arecaceae. The record is from RNAcentral.
GCAUAUGGUGUGUGAAGUGUGAACGCAUGGAACAAGUUUGUACAGGACUAAAGUUUUUUUUUUUUUUUCCUUUCUGGAUGGAUCAUGAAGUGGAGACUUUUCAUACACAUGGACAUUUGGAAGGACUAAAAUGAAAAAUGACCAGACGUGUGAUAAAAAAAUAAUAAGCAUCUGAAUGAUGCCUGAUCCAGCCAAAAAUUUAGUUUGCGG